This is a long non-coding RNA of Globicephala melas (long-finned pilot whale), 729 nucleotides long. RefSeq lists it as uncharacterized. Lineage: Eukaryota; Metazoa; Chordata; Mammalia; Artiodactyla; Delphinidae. The record is from RefSeq and is a predicted model, not a curated record.
CAAGGAUGCGCAUCCGUUCAAAACCCGUUAUCGAACACGUACAAAUCCUCAGCGGGCUCUGCCCUCGCUCAGUCCGGGCCCAGGAGGCCCACAGAGGAAGACGCCGUACGUCCCCAGACCCCAGCCCCUCCCAGAAUAAAUGCGGGGGCGGGGGGCCGGCACUGGGACAGUUGGCACGCGGACAAGAAGAGGGCGGAUGGGACUUUCAAGAUACAACAGUGGGACUUGGGCAGACACGAUUUCCUUGAAUCUGCUCCUGGUCUGGGAAUGGUUGUGACUGUUACAACUUACAAUGAUGAGGUAUUACUGUCAAAGUUAUAUGGCCCACAGGGAACAUUCUACUUCACUUCACAUUCACCUGGCGAACACAUCAUUUGCUUACAGUCUAAUUCUACGAGGCUCGUGUCAUUUGGAGGGAGUAAGCUGCGGAUCCACUUAGAUAUUCGAGUUGGAGAACAUGACCUUGAUGCAGCCAUUGCUCAAGCAAAGGACAAAGUUAAUGAAGUUAGCUUCAAGCUUGAACAUCUAAUUGAGCAAAUGGAGCAAAUAGUCAAAGAACAAAACUAUCAAAGGGACCGUGAAGAAGAAUUUCGAAUGACCAGUGAAGAUACAAACAGCAACGUUUUAUGGUGGGCCUUUGCACAAACACUAAUCUUUAUCUCAGUUGGAAUUUUCCAAAUAAAGUACCUUAAAGACUUCUUCAUAGCUAAGAAACUUGUUUAAAAAUAU